UUGGAGGUCAGAAGCUUGUCUCUUUCAAAGUGCAAAGGUAAUCUUCCAACUCUGAAAAUGGAUACCGUACUUCUCCUAAAGCUGCAGCCACAUCCCACCUAACUGAUGUGAUUCAGAACUUUUAUUCUGCAACAUGCAAUUCAUCCACUUCGAGCUGUGGUGUGGAAGUCCCUGUAAAUAUAAAGCAGGGAGUGUGGUGGUGUGGCACAUAUCAGCCUGACCUGAGCCGUGUACCUGGUUUAUGAAGUCCUUUUAAGUUACUUUAAUUUUCAUCUUGUGAAGUCCUUUUAAGUUAUUUUAGUUUUUGUCUUGUGGUGCUGGGGCUCAAACCUGACUCUUGCGCAUGCUAGACAGAGGUCUUACCACUGGCCUUACCACCAAACCCCGGCCCAGCCCUUCCGGGCCCUGACUGUCUGGACAGCAGACAGAGAGCAACUGGGGCAGAAGAGGAGGAGGCAGGCAGGGGCCUGUGCCCCAGGCGUGGCAGUGCUGAGGUGGACUCUCCAGACUUUCAGAAUUGGUGCUUAUUUUCCCUUGAUCAGCACCACACUUUGGGCUUCUCCAGAUCACAAGCAGGCACCCCCCACCUUCCUGUAUCCUGGGGUGUGGCUAUCCUGAGACUUAGCUCUCUCACCAAUGGCAGAUACUUAAUCUCACCACCAUCAGUAGGCAAGGCAGGUCCCAGGUCUACACUCUGCAAACGAGGGGUCUCGAGCUUGGAGAAGUGAAAAAAGAAGAAGAAGCAGAAGAAGCAGAAGAAGCAGAAGAAGCACGCAAGGAGCCGCGGAGAGCGGACCGGUAGAGGCUUCGGGACAGACUGUAGGGAGAAGCACGCAAGGAGCCGCGGGGAGCGGACCAACAGAGGCUUCGGCCGGGAGGAUUCCCGGGGCAGGCUGUACGGAGAAGGAAAAUAAAAGAAAAGGUUGUCCACUGCCA
Molecule: long non-coding RNA, 936 nt
Organism: Cavia porcellus (domestic guinea pig)
Lineage: Eukaryota; Metazoa; Chordata; Mammalia; Rodentia; Caviidae
Exons: 3
Source: RefSeq, a predicted model, not a curated record